UAUCCGUAGGUGAACCUGCGGAAGGAUCAUUAUUGGAUUUUGAAACUUCAGGCUGCUGCUGGCUCUCCUCGGAGGGCAUGUGCACGCUUGUUGUCCAUUAUUUCUCCCACUGUGCACAAAUUGUAGACCUUUCAGUAGGCCUAUGUUGUUUUUCACAAUCUCUGAAUGUAAUAGAAUGGUUUUGAAUCUUGGGAAAUACAAUACAACUUUCAGCAACGGAUCUCUUGGCUCUCACAUCGAUGAAGAACGCAGC
This 253-nucleotide unclassified non-coding RNA is filed under the name plant metagenome. Its description in RNAcentral is "partial contains small subunit ribosomal RNA, internal transcribed spacer 1, and 5.8S ribosomal RNA". The stretch from base 205 to 253 matches the Rfam family "5.8S ribosomal RNA", at positions 1 to 49 of the family's 154-position model. The record is from RNAcentral.